GAUGAACGCUGGCGGCGUGCCUAAUACAUGCAAGUCGAGCGAACAGACGAGGAGCUUGCUCCUCUGACGUUAGCGGCGGACGGGUGAGUAACACGUGGAUAACCUACCUAUAAGACUGGGAUAACUUCGGGAAACCGGAGCUAAUACCGGAUAACAUGUUGAACCGCAUGGUUCAACAGUGAAAGACGGUCUUGCUGUCACUUAUAGAUGGAUCCGCGCCGCAUUAGCUAGUUGGUAAGGUAACGGCUUACCAAGGCAACGAUGCGUAGCCGACCUGAGAGGGUGAUCGGCCACACUGGAACUGAGACACGAUCCAGACUCCUACGGGAGGCAGCAGUAGGGAAUCUUCCGCAAUGGGCGAAAGCCUGACGGAGCAACGCCGCGUGAGUGAAGAAGGUCUUCGGAUCGUAAAACUCUGUUAUUAGGGAAGAACAAAUGUGUAAGUAACUAUGCACGUCUUGACGGUACCUAAUCAGAAAGCCACGGCUAACUACGUG
This 497-nucleotide ribosomal RNA is filed under the name uncultured bacterium. Its description in RNAcentral is "partial 16S ribosomal RNA". It matches the Rfam family "Bacterial small subunit ribosomal RNA", at positions 28 to 507 of the family's 1533-position model. The record is from RNAcentral.